This 460-nucleotide ribosomal RNA is filed under the name uncultured bacterium. RNAcentral's name for it is "partial 16S ribosomal RNA". It matches the Rfam family "Bacterial small subunit ribosomal RNA", at positions 338 to 795 of the family's 1533-position model. The record is from RNAcentral.
CCUACGGGAGACUGCAGUGAGGAAUAUUGGUCAAUGGGCGGAAGCCUGAACCAGCCAAGUCGCGUGAGGGAAGAAGGCCCUAUGGGUCGUAAACCUCUUUUGCCAGGGAGCAACGCCCGGUACGUGUCCCGGGCCUGAGAGUACCUGAAGAAAAAGCAUCGGCUAACUCCGUGCCAGCAGCCGCGGUAAUACGGAGGAUGCGAGCGUUAUCCGGAUUUAUUGGGUUUAAAGGGUGCGUAGGCGGAAUUCUAAGUCAGCGGUAAAAUCGCGGGGCUCAACCCCGUCCGGCCGUUGAAACUGGCGGCCUUGAGUGGGCGAGAAGAAGGCGGAAUGCGUGGUGUAGCGGUGAAAUGCAUAGAUAUCACGCAGAACCCCGAUUGCGAAGGCAGCCUUCCGGCGCCCAACUGACGCUGAGGCACGAAAGCGUGGGGAUCGAACAGGAUUAGAUACCCUAGUAGUC